Anoplophora glabripennis (Asian longhorned beetle) is the source of this 2331-nucleotide RNA transcript. It is a transcript of the gene named 52 kDa repressor of the inhibitor of the protein kinase-like, with no coding region annotated. The transcript is spliced from 4 exons. NCBI's taxonomy places the organism in Eukaryota, Metazoa, Arthropoda, Insecta, Coleoptera, Cerambycidae. The record is from RefSeq and is a predicted model, not a curated record.
GUAAAUAAAUGGAUUGCUGGAGUGUAUAUUAUUCUAUAAGGCAUUCUAAAAUUAAGGACAAAUUAAGUGUUAGAAAAUAAAAGACAAUAUAAAAACUAUGAAUUGUGGAGUUGAAAGGAAAUAUGGCGUUUCAUGUGCUGCCAAAAAUUGUAAUAGCCGGCAGUCUAAUACUCAAUUGAGUUUUUUUCGAUUUCCAAAGGAUAUUGAUAGAGCAAAAAUAUGGGCAUUGGCCUGUAACAGAGAGGAUUUGUUUGAUAGGUUAAAUUCGUUGAAUCAAAGCCACCGAUUGUGCAGUAUACAUUUUGAAAAAAAAAUGUACAUGAAUAAGGAGUGCAAACGAUUAAUCCACAAUGCAGUUCCAACUUUAUUUGCUUGUUUGGAAGGUGGUUCAAAAUUUGUUGACCACACAUACAGUCGUCAUCCACUCGUAACAGUUAGGAUAGAAAAUAAGGAAAACGAAGCCUAGCAGUACAAUUACCCUGGUCUAGUCACUACUAAGAAAGAAUGAAGUAAGUCAUACUUUUCAUCCAUUUUACUGAAUUUCUGCCUAGUAGUCUUUGAUGGAUCUCCAUUAUGAUAUAUGGAGAAUAAUAAAACAUAAUUUAUCUACUUUUUUUUGCGAAACCAUACUGUGACAAUAUUUGUUUCAAUCAUAAUGUACCUGAAGUUCCGAACGUUCGUUUGAACGAAAAUUAAAACCCAUAAUAUCACGUUUAAUCGUACUUAAAAUGAUUUUACCACCUAAAUUCUGGCUUCUGUAGACGAAAACAACACCUCCCCAUCAUCAGAAGCCACCCCCCAUAUUAACCACCCUUAAAACAUAGAUACAUGUAUUUCAGAAAAUGAGUCCUGUACCACCCUAAAUUUGACAUAGGUUGUUAACAUUACUUUUAUACUGACUUUCUUGCCACCGGAAUCCACCCCGUCAGCUACCCUUAAAUCAGUUGUGUAUUAUUUCCCCGGUAUCAGGCUUAAAACCAUAAUAGAUUUUAAGGAAAUUGUUAAAAUUAUAUUUAUAAUGACUUAUGAUAACUAUUAAUACCAACUACCCCUAAAUCAGUUGUGCAGUACGUACAUGAUAUCAAGCUUAAAGCCAUAACAGAUUUUAAGUAAAUUGUUAACGUUACACUUAUAUUGUCUUAUAAUAACUAUAUAUAUAAAAUACACAACUGAUUUAAGCGUAGUUGACGGGGUGGAUUCCGGUGGCAGCAAUCGGUAUCAAUAGUUGUUAUAAGUCAAUAUAAAUAUAAUUUUAACAAUUUACUUAAAAUCCAUAUUGGCUUUAAGCUCGAUACCGGAGAUAUAAUACACAAGUGAUUUAAGGGUAGUUGAUGGGGUGGAUUCCGGUGGCAGCAAUCGGUAUCAAUAGUUGUUAUAAGUCAAUAUAAAUAUAAUUUUAACAAUUUACUUAAAAUCUAUUAUGGCUUUCUGCCUUAUAUAGGGGAUAUACGAUAUUACCUGUUUAAGGGUAGUUGACAGGGUGGGUUCUAAUGACAAUGAAGGGCAAUAAAAGUAGUUAUAAAUCAGUAUAGAUGUUAUGUUAAAAUUUUAACUCAAAUUUAAAGUGAUAGCAGGCCUGUUAUUUGGAUUAGAAUACUUGACCCUUUCAAGGGUAGUUCAUAGUGACAGAAUAAUUUUCAGUGACAACAAAGGGUGACAAUAAUUUUUGUAAAUGGAAAUAAAUAAAACGUUAACUUUUUUAAUUAAAUUUAACGUGGAUUUUUGAGCUUGAUUGGAGAUAUAAGGUAUAUCAGUUUUAAGAGUUGUUGACGAGGUGUGUUCCGAUAGUAAAAAAAAGGCCCGAAUGUUUUUUUAAAAAUCAGUAUAAAAGUAAUGUUAACAACCUGUUUAGAAUAGAUUUUGUAUUUGUUGUCAAAGCAAACCGUUGCCGGUGUUCGAGCCACCGCGCUUCCCACCCUGUAACAUGAGCUCCCUGCGCGGAGCAAAUAAAGUUUUAGUUUGUCUCUAGCUGUGGUAGAGAACGGUUGUACACGAAGUUCAAAUAAAGAUACAGUCCACUACGUCUUGUUAUUGAUAUUACCAGUAAAACACAAAAACAUUUGGACCUUUGCCCGGAUAAGGUCUUCAUAGCUGCAGUGUGAUUAGCCUGAGGUCGUAGUUUCAAUAGCGCUGGGUCAUCUCGAGCAGCCAGCCGUCCGCCACCCUUAGCAACAAGCACGAGACAUCUGCAGUCGAGGUCACGCAUUCAAUCAUUAUUUGCCGAAAACCAGUCAUUCGCGGGAUUUAGACUGUCUCUGCUGUUCUUGUCACGGGUUAACAAGGUUGUAUCGUCGGCAAAGAGUAUACAAGAAGCAUUACGAAUGUUAACAG